CAACAGGGAUUGCCUCAGUAACGGCGAGUGAAGCGGCAACAGCUCAAAUUUGAAAUCUGGAGUCUUCGACUUCCGAGUUGUAAUUUGAAGAGGAUGCUUCGGUUGUAGCUUGGGCCUAAGUUCCUUGGAACAGGACGUCGUAGAGGGUGAGAAUCCCGUACACGGCUACCGGCUUACUUCCAUGUGUAGCUCCUUCGAAGAGUCGAGUUGUUUGGGAAUGCAGCUCAAAAUGGGUGGUAAAUUUCAUCUAAAGCUAAAUACUGGCGAGAGACCGAUAGCGCACAAGUAGAGUGAUCGAAAGAUGAAAAGCACUUUGAAAAGAGAGUUAAACAGUACGUGAAAUUGUUGAAAGGGAAGCGUUUGCAAUCAGACUUGCUUUCAGUUGAUCAACGUUCCUUUUGGUUCGUGCACUCUGCUGUCUGCAGGCCAGCAUCAGUUAGGGCGGUGGGAUAAAGGCUCAGGGAAUGUGGCUCUCUUCGGGGAGUGUUAUAGCCCUGUGUGUAAUGCCACCAGUCCUGACUGAGGUCCGCGUUCGCUAGGAUGCUGGCUUAAUGGUUGUAAACGACCCGUCUUGAAACACGGACCAAGGAGUCUAACAUCUAUGCGAGUGUUUGGGUGUCAAACCCAUACGCGAAAUGAAAGUGAACGGAGGUGGGAGUCUUCGGAUGCACCAUCGACCGAUCCUGAUGUCUUCGGAUGGAUUUGAGUAUGAGCAUAGCUGUUGGGACCCGAAAGAUGGUGAACUAUGCCUGAAUAGGGUGAAGCCAGAGGAAACUCUGGUGGAGGCUCGCAGCGGUUCUGACGUGCAAAUCGAUCGUCAAAUUUGGGUAUAGGGGCGAAAGACUAAUCGAACCAUCUA
This 859-nucleotide ribosomal RNA is filed under the name Orbilia vinosa. RNAcentral describes it as "eukaryotic LSU rRNA". It matches the Rfam family "Eukaryotic large subunit ribosomal RNA", at positions 66 to 946 of the family's 3401-position model. The record is from RNAcentral. Lineage: Eukaryota; Fungi; Ascomycota; Orbiliomycetes; Orbiliales; Orbiliaceae.